RNAcentral lists this ribosomal RNA (2902 nucleotides) under Klebsiella quasipneumoniae. RNAcentral describes it as "23S ribosomal RNA". It matches the Rfam family "Bacterial large subunit ribosomal RNA". Lineage: Bacteria; Pseudomonadati; Pseudomonadota; Gammaproteobacteria; Enterobacterales; Enterobacteriaceae. The record is from RNAcentral.
GGUUAAGCGACUAAGCGUACACGGUGGAUGCCCUGGCAGUCAGAGGCGAUGAAGGACGUGCUAAUCUGCGAAAAGCGUCGGUAAGGUGAUAUGAACCGUUAUAGCCGGCGAUGUCCGAAUGGGGAAACCCAGUGCAAUUCGUUGCACUAUCGUUAACUGAAUACAUAGGUUAACGAGGCGAACCGGGGGAACUGAAACAUCUAAGUACCCCGAGGAAAAGAAAUCAACCGAGAUUCCCCCAGUAGCGGCGAGCGAACGGGGAGCAGCCCAGAGUCUGAAUCAGCUUGUGUGUUAGUGGAACGGUCUGGAAAGUCCGACGGUACAGGGUGAUAGUCCCGUACACCAAAAUGCACAGGCUGUGAACUCGAAGAGUAGGGCGGGACACGUGGUAUCCUGUCUGAAUAUGGGGGGACCAUCCUCCAAGGCUAAAUACUCCUGACUGACCGAUAGUGAACCAGUACCGUGAGGGAAAGGCGAAAAGAACCCCGGCGAGGGGAGUGAAAAAGAACCUGAAACCGUGUACGUACAAGCAGUGGGAGCACCUUCGGGUGUGACUGCGUACCUUUUGUAUAAUGGGUCAGCGACUUAUAUUCUGUAGCAAGGUUAACCGUAUAGGGGAGCCGCAGGGAAACCGAGUCUUAACUGGGCGUUAAGUUGCAGGGUAUAGACCCGAAACCCGGUGAUCUAGCCAUGGGCAGGUUGAAGGUUGGGUAACACUAACUGGAGGACCGAACCGACUAAUGUUGAAAAAUUAGCGGAUGACUUGUGGCUGGGGGUGAAAGGCCAAUCAAACCGGGAGAUAGCUGGUUCUCCCCGAAAGCUAUUUAGGUAGCGCCUCGUGAACUCAUCUUCGGGGGUAGAGCACUGUUUCGGCUAGGGGGUCAUCCCGACUUACCAACCCGAUGCAAACUACGAAUACCGAAGAAUGUUAUCACGGGAGACACACGGCGGGUGCUAACGUCCGUCGUGAAGAGGGAAACAACCCAGACCGCCAGCUAAGGUCCCAAAGUCAUGGUUAAGUGGGAAACGAUGUGGGAAGGCACAGACAGCCAGGAUGUUGGCUUAGAAGCAGCCAUCAUUUAAAGAAAGCGUAAUAGCUCACUGGUCGAGUCGGCCUGCGCGGAAGAUGUAACGGGGCUAAACCAUGCACCGAAGCUGCGGCAGCGACACUAUGUGUUGUUGGGUAGGGGAGCGUUCUGUAAGCCUGCGAAGGUGACCUGUGAGGGUUGCUGGAGGUAUCAGAAGUGCGAAUGCUGACAUAAGUAACGAUAAAGCGGGUGAAAAGCCCGCUCGCCGGAAGACCAAGGGUUCCUGUCCAACGUUAAUCGGGGCAGGGUGAGUCGACCCCUAAGGCGAGGCCGAAAGGCGUAGUCGAUGGGAAACAGGUUAAUAUUCCUGUACUUGGUGUUACUGCGAAGGGGGGACGGAGAAGGCUAUGUUAGCCGGGCGACGGUUGUCCCGGUUUAAGCAUGUAGGCUGGUUAUCCAGGCAAAUCCGGAUAAUCAAGGCUGAGGUGUGAUGACGAGGCACUACGGUGCUGAAGUAACAAAUGCCCUGCUUCCAGGAAAAGCCUCUAAGCAUCAGGUAACACGAAAUCGUACCCCAAACCGACACAGGUGGUCAGGUAGAGAAUACCAAGGCGCUUGAGAGAACUCGGGUGAAGGAACUAGGCAAAAUGGUGCCGUAACUUCGGGAGAAGGCACGCUGGUGUGUAGGUGAAGCCCCUGCGGGUGGAGCUGAGACCAGUCGAAGAUACCAGCUGGCUGCAACUGUUUAUUAAAAACACAGCACUGUGCAAACACGAAAGUGGACGUAUACGGUGUGACGCCUGCCCGGUGCCGGAAGGUUAAUUGAUGGGGUUAUCCGUAAGGAGAAGCUCUUGAUCGAAGCCCCGGUAAACGGCGGCCGUAACUAUAACGGUCCUAAGGUAGCGAAAUUCCUUGUCGGGUAAGUUCCGACCUGCACGAAUGGCGUAAUGAUGGCCAGGCUGUCUCCACCCGAGACUCAGUGAAAUUGAACUCGCUGUGAAGAUGCAGUGUACCCGCGGCAAGACGGAAAGACCCCGUGAACCUUUACUAUAGCUUGACACUGAACAUUGAGCCUUGAUGUGUAGGAUAGGUGGGAGGCUUUGAAGCGUGGACGCCAGUCUGCGUGGAGCCAACCUUGAAAUACCACCCUUUAAUGUUUGAUGUUCUAACGUUGGCCCCUUAUCGGGGUUGCGGACAGUGUCUGGUGGGUAGUUUGACUGGGGCGGUCUCCUCCCAAAGCGUAACGGAGGAGCACGAAGGUUAGCUAAUCCUGGUCGGACAUCAGGAGGUUAGUGCAAUGGCAUAAGCUAGCUUGACUGCGAGCGUGACGGCGCGAGCAGGUGCGAAAGCAGGUCAUAGUGAUCCGGUGGUUCUGAAUGGAAGGGCCAUCGCUCAACGGAUAAAAGGUACUCCGGGGAUAACAGGCUGAUACCGCCCAAGAGUUCAUAUCGACGGCGGUGUUUGGCACCUCGAUGUCGGCUCAUCACAUCCUGGGGCUGAAGUAGGUCCCAAGGGUAUGGCUGUUCGCCAUUUAAAGUGGUACGCGAGCUGGGUUUAGAACGUCGUGAGACAGUUCGGUCCCUAUCUGCCGUGGGCGCUGGAGAAUUGAGGGGGGCUGCUCCUAGUACGAGAGGACCGGAGUGGACGCAUCACUGGUGUUCGGGUUGUCAUGCCAAUGGCACUGCCCGGUAGCUAAAUGCGGAAGAGAUAAGUGCUGAAAGCAUCUAAGCACGAAACUUGCCCCGAGAUGAGUUCUCCCUGAGACUUUAAGUCUCCUGAAGGAACGUUGAAGACGACGACGUUGAUAGGCCGGGUGUGUAAGCGCAGCGAUGCGUUGAGCUAACCGGUACUAAUGAACCGUGAGGCUUAACCUU